Long non-coding RNA from Olea europaea var. sylvestris, 849 nucleotides. RefSeq lists it as uncharacterized. The record is from RefSeq and is a predicted model, not a curated record. Lineage: Eukaryota; Viridiplantae; Streptophyta; Magnoliopsida; Lamiales; Oleaceae. The transcript has 2 exons.
UCCUUCAUUUCAUUCCCGUCCGCCUCUCCACUUGAAAUUCGGAAUCCUAGAAUCACCCUUUCUUCAACUUCCAACCAGCGCCACCAUCCUUCUGAACCGCUGACCGACGAUUUUAAAUGUGGCUAGAUCUACAAACGCCGAACGCACAGUGAAAUCGGGUCCUUCAUCUUCACCACCAUCCACAAACGCUGUAUUCUUGGUCGAGUCAGUCCACAACAGCCAUGUAUCUUCGCCUUCUUCCACGAACGCCAACUGAUUUCCACCGUCGAUAAUAAACUCAGUCCACAGCAACAAUAUUUUGUGUGAAACAUUGUGAAAAAAAGAAAGUUUUGAAAAUUGUGAAAAACGAGCACAGAGAACUUCUUCAAUGACUGUCCAAUAAAACUAGGAUGUCCAUGGUGUCUCCUAGGAUGGGAGAAAUGUUUUCAAGUUGAGAGGAAGACUCAUAACCAAAGGCGAUUAUUUAAAAUGUGCAGUAAAAAUUGUGGAUAUUUCCAUUGGGUCAAGACAGAAAUAUCAUGUAUUGAAUCGAGUACAAGGAAUGAAGCGAUGGAUCCCGCGGCCAUAGAUGAAGUCGAGGAAGAUUUGCCAACCAUAUUCGAUAGUCUAGCUCGAAUUGUCGAAAAACGAAACAUCGAGAUUUCGUUGAAUAUCACAUUCCGCAAGGGAAAGAAAAGUGCAAAGUGAAUGGAAAGGGAAAGUACCAAUCUUGAUAAACCAUGAUGAAGGAAUUAUAGUUUGAUAGCAUUUUUUUCUUUAUCAAGGUCCCUGAAUUGUGUAUUUCGUUUUGAUGAACUGUAUGUGCAUUUCGUUUGGAUGAAUGAAGAUAAUUAAACAGAGAAGAACAAA